This 439-nucleotide ribosomal RNA is filed under the name uncultured bacterium. RNAcentral describes it as "bacterial SSU rRNA". It matches the Rfam family "Bacterial small subunit ribosomal RNA", at positions 338 to 792 of the family's 1533-position model. The record is from RNAcentral.
CCUACGGGAGGCAGCAGUGGGGAAUAUUGGGCAAUGGGCGCAAGCCUGACCCAGCAACGCCGCGUGAAGGAAGAAGGCUUUCGGGUUGUAAACUUCUUUUAAGGGGGAAGAGGAGAAGACGGUACCCCUUGAAUAAGCCACGGCUAACUACGUGCCAGCAGCCGCGGUAAUACGUAGGUGGCAAGCGUUGUCCGGAUUUACUGGGUGUAAAGGGCGUGCAGCCGGGAGGACAAGUCAGAUGUGAAAUCCCGCGGCUCAACCGCGGAACUGCAUUUGAAACUGUUUUUCUUGAGUACCGGAGAGGUCAUCGGAAUUCCUUGUGUAGCGGUGAAAUGCGUAGAUAUAAGGAAGAACACCAGUGGCGAAGGCGGAUGACUGGACGGCAACUGACGGUGAGGCGCGAAAGCGUGGGGAGCAAACAGGAUUAGAUACCCCAGUA